RNAcentral lists this ribosomal RNA (107 nucleotides) under Cloacibacterium normanense. Lineage: Bacteria; Pseudomonadati; Bacteroidota; Flavobacteriia; Flavobacteriales; Weeksellaceae. RNAcentral also lists the same sequence under 2 other names. The record is from RNAcentral.
GGGUGGUUUUAGCAGAGGGGCUCACCUGUUCCCAUUCCGAACACAGAAGUUAAGCCCUCUAGCGCCGAUGGUACUGCUAACGCGGGAGAGUAGGUCGCCGCCAGUUU